This 354-nucleotide long non-coding RNA is filed under the name Capra hircus (goat). RNAcentral's name for it is "lncRNA (ENSCHIG00010000117.1)". Lineage: Eukaryota; Metazoa; Chordata; Mammalia; Artiodactyla; Bovidae. The record is from RNAcentral.
CUUGACGCUAUAAAAAGAGGUCCUUUGUGACAGUUUAUUUGGUCACAGAUUUGUUGGGAUUUUCAAGUUACAGUGAUACCUCUCCUGCUACUCCACAGCUAUUGAUAUUUGUCACUACUUUAAAACACACACACACACAGUGAGGCUCAGGGAAGAAUAAGGAUAAAAGAAUCCGAAAAAGUUAAAGAAGAUAUAUAUUCAGUCUCCAAACCAGAAAGUCAACUAAAUGGCCUUAUCAUGAAAAGGACAUCUUUUUUUGGUGUUAGUUCUAGAAAGUGUUGUAGAUGUUCUAUAUUUGCCAAGUAACCUUUGAGACCAGGAUAUCUAAUGCUUCCAUUUUAUGUAAGUUCAAGA